AGUGAACGCUGGCGGUAGGCCUAACACAUGCAAGUCGAACGACAGCACAGUAAGAGCUUUCUUCUACGGGUGGCGAGUGACGGAUGGAUGAGGAAUACAUCGGAAUCUACUAUUUCGUGGGGGAUAACGUAGGAAAACUUCCGCUAAUACCGCAUACGACCUACGGGAGAAAGCAGGAGAUAUUCAGACCUUGCGCGAUUGAAUGAGCCGAUGUCGGACUAGCUAGUCGGCGGGGUAAAGGCUCACCAAGGCGACGAUCCGUAGCUGGUCUGAGAGGAUGAUCAGCCACACUGGAACUGAGACACGGUCCAGACUCCUACGGGAGGCAGCAGUAGGGAAUAUUGGACAAUGGGCGCAAGCCUGAUCCAGCCAUACCGCGUGGGUGAAGAAGGCCUUCGGGUUGUAAAGCCCUUUUGUUAGGAAAGAAAAACAGCGUGUUUAAACCCCGAUGUUCUGACGGUACCCAAAGAAAAAGCAACGGCUAACUUCGUG
This 492-nucleotide ribosomal RNA is filed under the name uncultured bacterium. RNAcentral's name for it is "partial 16S ribosomal RNA". It matches the Rfam family "Bacterial small subunit ribosomal RNA", at positions 29 to 507 of the family's 1533-position model. The record is from RNAcentral.